This 103-nucleotide non-coding RNA is filed under the name Flavobacterium indicum. RNAcentral describes it as "SAM-I sequence". It matches the Rfam family "SAM riboswitch aptamer (S box leader)". Rfam says of the family: The SAM riboswitch is found upstream of a number of genes which code for proteins involved in methionine or cysteine biosynthesis in Gram-positive bacteria. The SAM riboswitch acts at the level of transcription termination control. The predicted structure consists of a complex stem-loop region followed by a single stem loop terminator region. The record is from RNAcentral. Lineage: Bacteria; Pseudomonadati; Bacteroidota; Flavobacteriia; Flavobacteriales; Flavobacteriaceae. RNAcentral also lists the same sequence under 1 other name.
UUGUUAUCACGAAAGCUGGAGGGAAUAGACCCAAUGAAAGCUUAGCAACCCUAUUAAAUAGAAGGUGCUACAUUCUAUUCGCAAUUUGCGAAAAAGAUAACUU